CUCCUCUGAUGUGUCUUUCGAGCUGAUUCGCCUCUCUCUCAAUUGUCUUUUUCAUCUGCAUUGACUCUGCUUACCUCAAGCUUUUCUUCUACGACAAUACUUUGAUUUUCUGUGGCAGAUAAUAUAUAUGGAAAUGUAUACGCAUUGUACAUUUCUUAGUAAAGGCUGAAGUGACAGCAAAGAUUAUAAACUGGGAUUGAAACAGUUCAGGGGACGACGGACGAGGCAGCACAUCCACAGGGCGCCAGAGCAACGCCGUGAAGACGACCUUCCGAUGCCAGCGUGGAGAGGCGGCUGGAGACGGAGGAGGCAGGGUGCCAUCGCCGCCAUCCCAGGCUCCUCUCACCGUCGCUCACAGCGGGACAGCCGGAUGUCGCUGUUGUGAUGUGACUCAAGGGCACAGCGCAUCCCAUGGAGGGCGGCUACACCAAGCCCUCCCCACGAUCUCCUAAAGCCUUUAGACGAAGCUCGCCGUUUCCAGAUAACGCCGGAGGUGGAGCAGGCAGAGCACCCGCACCAACCAGCCGCCGAGGUGUCCUGCGGAACGGGCGGCCUGUGCUCCUCGGCAGGCGGGCGGCACCGACGAGGACUCUGCUUGCUCACGUGGCAGCCCAGGGCCACGUGUGGCUCUCCACGGGUUCUGCCUUCAACACACCUGCUGCCCAGGACAAGUGUUAUGUCAGUUCAGGUCUGGGCAGUAACUGAGUCAAAAUAAAGAGAAUUGGAAGGACGGGCACCACAGACCGACGGAAGCGGGCAGCAGCGAAGAACCAGCACCGGUGACACGGCUGUGCCCUGCGUGUGCGGCCACAUGAGGAAGAGGCAGAAGGGUCUGCGCCGUGGAAACAUGGGAUCUUUUCUUUUUUGAUACGCAGAGUCUUAUUCUAUCACCCAGGCUGAGUGCGGUGGCGUGACUCGGCUCAGUGCAGCCUCCACCUCCCGGGUUCAAGCAGUUCUGCCUCAGCCUCCGAAGUAGCUGGGAUUACAGGUGCACACCACACCCAGAUAAUUUUUGUAUUUUUUUUUUUUUUUAGUAGAGAUGGGGUUUCACUGUGUUGUUCAGGCUGGUCUCGAACUCCUGACCUCAGGUGAUUUGCCCACCUCAGCCUCCCAGAGUGCUGGGAUUACAGGUGUGAGCCCGCACCCGGCCUAGAAGCAUGGCCUUUCCGGGUGGUCAUUUUGCCUCUAUUUUCUGUGACUUCUGUAAUAAGAGAAGGGUUGCUUUACACAUAAAAGUACGAUAGGGAAUUCUGAAAGCACUGAUGGUGCGACCCUAUUUCUCGGCCCUUCUAGGUCUUCACUAAGACCUUAACGGUGUUAUUUUGGUCCUCAAUUCAUUUCCUGAGAUCUGCAGACUCUCUCUUCAUAUCACUUUAUUUUAUUCUCUUAUUUUAAAUUCUUAUUUUUAUUGAACUUAGGUUAUAAUUAUGUUGUUUUACUAUGAAAAAAUAAUGAAAAACUUCCUUUGGUCGAGAAUUAGGUUUCCUGUGUUUCUGUCUUCCGCCGGUAUUUUGCACGCGUUCUCUCUCCCCCUCCCUCUCUCUUCUCGUCUCUCUCUGUCUCUCCCUCUAUCUCUUCUCGUCUCUCCCUGUCUCCCUCCGUCUCUCCCUCUCUCUCUCCCCCCACUCCCCUGUAGAGUGUCCAGGUGACCGUGACCGUGACAUUGCGAGUAUAGUUUCCCGGACGUCCCCUCUGCUCUGGUGUCACGUGGGUGGCUCUGGACUCCUGCCUCUGGGCACUGGCCACAGCCCGGUCUCCGUCUGCGGGCGUGGGGACCGAGGGAGCUGCGGUGUGCCCCCGAAAGCGUCGCCACCUCUGCCUCAUUUCUUACCAGACCUGGUCUGUGGAGAUUGGAAGGCAUCUUCCCUUCAGGUGCGUCCCUCUCCCGCCCUUUCCCCCUUUCUUCCUGGUGGUUCCUGGAUGGCUGGGGCUGCUUCCUGAGGCCAGUGAUGGCGUCCGGCAGAGGCCUCGGCUGUGAUGGCCUGAAGCCAUGCGGGAGGUCUGCAGGGUCGCUGUGACCUUCCUGCUGUGAGCAGAGACCCUCUGGGGCCUGUGAUAAAACCCACAGAAUGUUGCCGGAGUCAGGCUCAGCAGCUCUGGGGAGGGGCCUGGGGCUCUGCAUUCCUGGGGGCUCUGGGGUGAUGCGAACGCAGCUGGUCUGAGCCCACACUCUGAGGAGCCACCGUUUCAUCAGGUUUCAGCUACGUGCAGCUGGGUGUCACCCCUGCCCAAGGGCUGGGCUCUCGGUCUCCGAAACAGGGUGAAUUUCCUGCAGGUUUCAUUUCUAGAAAUUGGAGGGGUGUCCCUCACUCCCUGGGGAGGCCCUGGGGCUGGGCUCUGUGCAGAGUCCUGGAGCCUUCACACUGCAAAGAGAGCUGACUCCAGCAUCCCUGUCCCCAUUGCCAGAGAGACUCGACCCCAGCACCCACCUCCCCGCUGCCAGAGACAGCCGACCUCAGUGCCCACCUCCCCGCUGCCAGAGACAGCCGACCUCAGCGCCCACCUCCCCGCUGCCAGAGACAGCCGACCUCAGCGCCCACCUCCCCGCUGCCAGAGACAGCAGACCCGAGCACCCACCUCCCCGCUGCCAGAGACAGCCGACCUCAGCACCCACAUCCCCGCUGCCAGAGACAGCCGACCUCAGCGCCAGUGUCCUCAGCUCUGGUUGUCCUGGCGCGGGUUCCUCAGCCUCAGGCAGACAGAGCGGGAGAAGGAGGCCUCUGGGGUUUGCUCCUCUGAGACUGUGAACAUUACUGAGAGUGCCAGGAUUUCAGUAACUCACAGUCUUUCUCUGAAAAAUAAUGUAUUUUCAUGUCACAGAGACGAUGAUAAUCCAGAGGCCAUUGCUCUGGGCUGCUGAUGUGAACAGUCGUGGUGGAUCUGCCUCUGAGCACGUGCGAUGCACCACGACACUCAACUUCUCCCACAUACGUUUCCUCGGGGCUGAGCCCACGCUGCAGGGAGGGGCCCUCUAGGCUGGGUGGGUGGGGGAGAGCAGGCAUUGGCCUCACCCUUGGGACAGGGCCUCCCUGAGGGGGAAGGCUCAGCCCCAGGGCAUGGCACAACCCCUGCAGGUGAGGAGGAAAUCUAAUACAGCAGCUCGCCUGCAUUCCGUCGGUCACUCUGUCCCCCAGGCUCUCCCUGCGGCAUCUCUGCUGUUUGUUCCCCCAGCCAGGGUCCACGGAGCACCUGCCGUGGCCACGCCCUGGGCCGGGAGUUCCAACCUGGAGUCACGUCUAGGGUCCCUGGCGGAGGACGAGACACACCUGAGGGACGGGACAGAGCUGUCUGGUGGAGGCUGCAGCCAACCAGCCCCAGACCAGAUAACUGAGCAGAGGGAGCCUCCAACCUCCGUCCUCUGCUGGCAUUGGGCAGCAGCCACGGGGGCCACAGGGCCUCCUUGGAAGACUGACGCCGCCUCUGGUCACUCAGCUCCUGCCCGGCGGGGGGAGGACGUUACCGCUCAGUUCCGUUACCUCCAAAGCAGAAGGAUGAGCUCCCGUUUUACCUGUGAGGAAACUCAUUUGAUUUUAAAUGAUUUUCAGCCUGGAAGUUGGUGAAUUUUAGGAGGCUCUUAAAUAAAUUGCCUCGAAAUAAAGAUGAGCUUCUGGUUUACAGCAAAACUGUAUCGGUCCUGACUGGAACUUUUGCAGAGAUUUGGUUGCGGGAUGCUGGGCCUGGCCCGGCAGAGCAGAGACCACAGUGCGCCCGGCGUUAAAAAUGGGGUUUGGCCGGGCGCGGUGGCUCAAGCCUGUCAUCCCAGCAC
Molecule: non-coding RNA, 3766 nt
Organism: Callithrix jacchus (white-tufted-ear marmoset)
Lineage: Eukaryota; Metazoa; Chordata; Mammalia; Primates; Cebidae
Source: RefSeq, a predicted model, not a curated record